Long non-coding RNA from Macrobrachium nipponense, 1231 nucleotides. RefSeq lists it as uncharacterized. The record is from RefSeq and is a predicted model, not a curated record. The transcript has 4 exons. NCBI's taxonomy places the organism in Eukaryota, Metazoa, Arthropoda, Malacostraca, Decapoda, Palaemonidae.
GCCCUUCCGUCUGUUAUACAUCGUUUUGCGCGGUAGACAUUUAAAAGGUAUUUGCUAAGUGGUUCCAUUUUUCUCUGGAGUGGCGUAUACAAUUCGUCCUUAAUUUAUCGUAUCGUAAUUGGUCGUGCCGUGCAGGUUUUACUUACGAUAUGACAGAACCGUUUAUCGUACUACUAGGUUACAGUUGCGCUAUACAUUUCCAUCGACCGUCGUCACCUUCCAGGUCAAGUUACCAUAUGAACACCGGGCUUCUGCAAGGAUGUUUUUCGAUGCGAGUUUUGAGUUCCUGUACUAAACGGUGAAGCUUCGCGUGUGAUGAAGAUGCUCUCUUGAGAACCAGACACUGCAGAUAAAUCGAGAAAGGUAUGGCUUAUGUGAAGAUGGCCAGAGCGCCCAUUUAUACCGAUAUCAGCUCAGGAGGACCAUUAGAAAUGAUAAUCUACAAUAAGGGAAUGCUUCCCCCAGCGCUGGUGUGAAAAUGAAGUGAAAUAGAGACUUGUCCAAGCUUCUAUAAAAGACAAAGCCUAGUCAUCCAUAGAGACCGCUAAAAUUGAGAACGAGACUAAGUUAUUCUCUAAAAGAGUCGUUGGCUGGACUGCCAGCAACUUUUCAAGUUCAGCACGAAGAAUUCGUCGAUGGCGACAGCAGAAAAUAUUAGCGCUCCUAUUCCAUCGAAAAUAUGGUUCUGAUAUCCUGCUAUUCAGCAAAUUUGAACCAGGGAAAACCAUUUUCGCAAUAUUACUGGCGCAGAUGAGGAGAGAGUGCUAGUUAAAAUUCGAUAUUGGGCUGGCUAUGGCACAUUAAAAGUUUAUUUAUAUAUAUUACCAGUUGUAUACAAUCAGCAUUCAAAUAGCUAAUAUGAAUGUGCCUCUUAUUUUCGUAUUGUUACCUAACAAUCGGCAAGCAACUUGUGAUCGGUUGUUUUCUCAUUACUCUUAUCCCUGACGUUGAGCCUAAAAUGUUUAUGAAUAGUCUUAUUUCAAUAUUACCUAACAUAAGUGGUAACGGAUUGUUUAUUUAAUUUUCCUCAAUUGACAGAUAACUUGUCGAGCUAGAUCAUAAAGUCCAAUAUAAUAACAGAUGAAGUAGUCUCAAUGUAAAGUGCUUUACUGCAAUUCUUUGUUUACAUACGAAGAACUAACUUUAAAGUUUUAGUAAAUUCUAUUUGUAUUGACAUGCAUUAAUGUUUUAAGUUUUCAUUGGCCCCCAAAUAAUAGUUUCUCUUAAUAUU